AAGACCUUUCCGGGAGCCGAUAGGAGC
This 27-nucleotide small RNA is filed under the name Bombyx mori (domestic silkworm). RNAcentral's name for it is "ovarian small RNA-10504". The record is from RNAcentral. Lineage: Eukaryota; Metazoa; Arthropoda; Insecta; Lepidoptera; Bombycidae.